AAAAAUAUAUAUAUAUAUAUAAAAGAAAAAAAAAAAAAAAACAGUCACAAAAUAAAAACAAAGCAAACCCAAAACAGUGCAUGCCUCUGAGGCUGAAUGGUGCUAGACAGCAUGUUUGUCAAUGAAUUGAAUAGUUUUUUUGGCCUGUAGUGUUGAAUGAGUUUUUAGGUUCUUUUGUCUAAAAGUGUUUUGUUAGGCACUAAUCACAUUUUAUUGACUAUCUUUUUAAACCUGUAUGCGUUUGUGUGUGUAAGCCUCUCUGCAUAUAAUUCUUCUCCGUCUCCUUCACUUGCCAGCUCUCUUGAACUGCAAGGUCAUUGGUGCUUUAAAGUCCCCCACAGUAAAAUUUUACACUUCCGAGGCGCCCCCACUAAGCCUUCCGUCAUCUAUUUUUAAUACCAGAAAAACAUCCCUUGCGACAACAUGGGGUCUGCGUGCCUGUCAUUUUGAACCUCAUUAAGGGGUCGCUUAAA
Molecule: long non-coding RNA, 473 nt
Organism: Poecilia latipinna (sailfin molly)
Lineage: Eukaryota; Metazoa; Chordata; Actinopteri; Cyprinodontiformes; Poeciliidae
Exons: 3
Source: RefSeq, a predicted model, not a curated record